GUAGGUGGCAAGCGUUGUCCGGAAUUAUUGGGCGUAAAGCGCGCGCAGGCGGUCCUUUUAAGUCUGAUGUGAAAGCCCACGGGCUCAACCGUGGAGGGUCAUUGGAAACUGGGGGACUUGAGUACAGAAGAGGAAAGCGGAAUUCCAAGUGUAGCGGUGAAAUGCGUAGAGAUUUGGAGGAACACCAGUGGCGAAGGCGGCUUUCUGGUCUGUAACUGACGCUGAGGCGCGAAAGCGUGGGGAGCAAACAGGAUUAGAUACCCUGGUAGUCCACGCCGUAAACGAUGAGUGCUAAGUGUUAGAGGGUUUCCGCCCCUUAGUGCUGCAGCUAACGCAUUAAGCACUCCGCCUGGGGAGUACGGCCGCAAAGGCUG
RNAcentral lists this ribosomal RNA (374 nucleotides) under uncultured organism. RNAcentral describes it as "partial 16S ribosomal RNA". It matches the Rfam family "Bacterial small subunit ribosomal RNA", at positions 527 to 896 of the family's 1533-position model. The record is from RNAcentral.